UGCUAUCGGAGUCCGAUUUAGCCAUGCUAGUUGCACGAGUUUAGACUCGUAGCAUAUAGCUCAGUAACACGUGGCCAAACUACCCUACAGACCGCGAUAACCUCGGGAAACUGAGGCCAAUAGCGGAUAUCACUCUCAGACUGGAGUGUCGAGAGUGAGAAACGUUCCGGCGCUGUAGGAUGUGGCUGCGGCCGAUUAGGUAGAUGGUGGGGUAACGGCCCACCAUGCCGAUAAUCGGUACGGGUUGUGAGAGCAAGAACCCGGAGACGGUAUCUGAGACAAGAUACCGGGCCCUACGGGGCGCAGCAGGCGCGAAACCUUUACACUGCACGACAGUGCGAUAGGGGGACUCCGAGUGCGAGGGCAUAUAGCCCUCGCUUUUCUGUACCGUAAGGUGGUACAGGAACAAGGACUGGGCAAGACCGGUGCCAGCCGCCGCGGUAAUACCGGCAGUCCGAGUGAUGGCCGAUAUUAUUGGGCCUAAAGCGUCCGUAGCCGGCCGGACAAGUCCGUUGGGAAAUCGACCAGCUCAACUGGUCGGCGUCCAGCGGAAACUGUCCGGCUUGGGGCCGGAAGACCUGAGGGGUACGUCCGGGGUAGGAGUGAAAUCCUGUAAUCCUGGACGGACCACCAAUGGGGAAACCACCUCAGGAAGCCGGACCCGACGGUGAGGGACGAAAGCUAGGGUCUCGAACCGGAUUAGAUACCCGGGUAGUCCUAGCUGUAAACGAUGCUCGCUAGGUGUGCCGUAGGCUACGAGCCUGCGAUGCGCCGUAGGGAAGCCGAGAAGCGAGCCGCCUGGGAAGUACGUCUGCAAGGAUGAAACUUAAAGGAAUUGGCGGGGGAGCCCCACAACCGGAGGAGCCUG
Molecule: ribosomal RNA, 868 nt
Filed under: Halobacteriaceae archaeon Ston16
Lineage: Archaea; Methanobacteriati; Methanobacteriota; Halobacteria; Halobacteriales; Halobacteriaceae
Description: bacterial SSU rRNA
Rfam family: Archaeal small subunit ribosomal RNA
Source: RNAcentral